GGUUCUAUGGUGUAAUGGUUAGCACUCUGGACUCUGAAUCCAGCGAACUGUGUUUGAAUCUCAGUAGGACCU
RNAcentral lists this transfer RNA (72 nucleotides) under Danionella translucida. It matches the Rfam family "tRNA". From Rfam's summary of the family: Transfer RNA (tRNA) molecules are approximately 80 nucleotides in length. Their secondary structure includes four short double-helical elements and three loops (D, anti-codon, and T loops). Further hydrogen bonds mediate the characteristic L-shaped molecular structure. tRNAs have two regions of fundamental functional importance: the anti-codon, which is responsible for specific mRNA codon recognition, and the 3' end, to which the tRNAs corresponding amino acid is attached (by aminoacyl-tRNA synthetases). tRNAs cope with the degeneracy of the genetic code in two manners: having more than one tRNA (with a specific anti-codon) for a particular amino acid; and 'wobble' base-pairing, i.e. permitting non-standard base-pairing at the 3rd anti-codon position. RNAcentral also lists the same sequence under 1 other name. Lineage: Eukaryota; Metazoa; Chordata; Actinopteri; Cypriniformes; Danionidae. The record is from Rfam by way of RNAcentral.